Long non-coding RNA from Salmo trutta (river trout), 1821 nucleotides. The record is from Ensembl. Lineage: Eukaryota; Metazoa; Chordata; Actinopteri; Salmoniformes; Salmonidae.
UGGAAACUGAACAACCAAAAAAUAAGAUCUGAGGAAACUUUAGGAAUAUACAGUAACAGCCCAUGUUGUUUCAAACCAUGUUCCAGACCCCCCUGCCUGCUCUCCUUCUCCUCUGUCACUUCUAGUCAGCCAGCUGUCUGUCCUAUUGCUCCCCCCCCCGUAGUAGCCUUGACCUGUAGCCUCUUUCUGCAGACGUUACAUGUAGCUCUGCCAGUCAACUCGUCCUCCCUGGGGAGCCUUCCUCCCUCUGGAGCCUUCCUCCCUCUGGAUCCUUCCUCCCUCUGGAGCCUUCCUCCCUCUGGAGCCUUCCUCCCUCUGGAGCCUUCCUCCCUCUGGAGCCUUCGUCCCUCCCUCUGGAGUCUUCCUCCCUCUGGAGCCUUCCUCCCUCCCUCUGGAGCCUUCCUCCCUCCGUCCUUCCUCCCUCUGGAGCCUUCCUCCCUCUGGAGCCUUCCUCCCUCUGGAGCCUUCCUCCCUCUGGAGCCUUCCUCCCUCUGGAGCCUUCCUCCCUCUGGCGCCUUCCUCCCUCUGGAGCCUUCCUCCCUCUGGAGCCUUCCUCCCUCCGUCCUUCCUCCCUCUGGAGCCUUCCUCCCUCUGGAGCCUUCCUCCCUCUGGAGCCUUCCUCCCUCUGGAGCCUUCCUCCCUCUGGAGCCUUCCUCCCUGGGGAGCCUUCCUCCCUCUGGAGCCUUCCUCCCUCUGGAGCCUUCCUCCCUCUGGAGCCUUCCUCCCUCCGUCCUUCCUCCCUGGGGAGCCUUCCUCCCUCUGGAGCCUUCCUCCCUCUGGAGCCUUCCUCCCUGGGGAGCCUUCCUCCCUCUGGAGCCUUCCUCCCUGGGGAGCCUUCCUCCCUCUGGAGCCUUCGUCCCUCUGGAGCCUUCCUCCCUGGGGAGCCUUCCUCCCUCUGGAGCCUUCCUCCCUCUGGAGCCUUCCUCCCUGGGGAGCCUUCCUCCCUCUGGAGCCUUCCUCCCUCUGGAGCCUUCCUCCCUCUGGAGCCUUCCUCCCUCCGUCCUUCCUCCCUCUGGAGCCUUCCUCCCUCCGUCCUUCCUCCCUGGGGAGCCUUCCUCCCUCCGUCCUUCCUCCCUGGGGAGCCUUCCUCCCUGGGGAGCCUUCCUCCCUGGGGAGCCUUCCUCCCUCCGUCCUUCCUCCCUGGGGAGCCUUCCUCCCUCCGUCCUUCCUCCCUGGGGAGCCUUCCUCCCUGGGGAGCCUUCCUCCCUGGGGAGCCUUCCUCCCUGGGGAGCCUUCCUCCCUGGGGAGCCUACCUCCCUGGGGAGCCUUCCUCCCUGGGGAGCCUUCCUCCCUGGGGAGCCUUCCUCCCUCUGGAGCCUUCCUCCCUGGGGAGCCUUCCUCCCUCUGGAGCCUUCCUCCCUGGGGAGCCUUCCUCCCUCUGGAGCCUUCCUCCCUGGGGAGCCUUCCUCCCUGGGGAGCCUUCCUCCCUCUGGAGCCUUCCUCCCUGGGGAGCCUUCCUCCCUGGGGAGCCUUCCUCCCUGGGGAGCCUUCCUCCCUGGGGAGCCUUCCUCCCUGGGGAGCCUACCUCCCUGGGGAGCCUUCCUCCCUGGGGAGCCUUCCUCCCUGGGGAGCCUUCCUCCCUCUGGAGCCUUCCUCCCUGGGGAGCCUUCCUCCCUCUGGAGCCUUCCUCCCUGGGGAGCCUUCCUCCCUCUGGAGCCUUCCUCCCUGGGGAGCCUUCCUCCCUGGGGAGCCUUCCUCCCUGGGGAGCCUUCCUCCCUCUGGAGCCUUCCUCCCUGGGGAGCCUUCCUCCCUCUGGAGCCUUCCUCCCUGGGGAGCCUUCCUCCCUGGGGAGCCUUCCUCCCUGGGGAGCCUACCUUUUAG